UACAGAGGGUGCGAGCGUUAAUCGGAAUUACUGGGCGUAAAGCGUGCGUAGACGGUUAUCUAAGUCGGGUGUGAAAGCCCCGGGCUCAACCUGGGAAUUGCAUUCGAGACUGAAUAGCUAGGGUACGGUAGAGGGAAGCGGAAUUUCCGGUGUAGCGGUGAAAUGCGUAGAUAUCGGAAGGAACAUCAGUGGCGAAAGCGGCUUCCUGGACCAGUACCGACGUUCAGGCACGAAAGCGUGGGGAGCAAACAGG
RNAcentral lists this ribosomal RNA (253 nucleotides) under uncultured bacterium. RNAcentral describes it as "partial 16S ribosomal RNA". It matches the Rfam family "Bacterial small subunit ribosomal RNA", at positions 524 to 776 of the family's 1533-position model. The record is from RNAcentral.